Molecule: ribosomal RNA, 460 nt
Filed under: uncultured bacterium
Lineage: Bacteria
Description: partial 16S ribosomal RNA
Rfam family: Bacterial small subunit ribosomal RNA
Source: RNAcentral
CCUACGGGGAGCAGCAGUGAGGAAUAUUGGUCAAUGGACGAGAGUCUGAACCAGCCAAGUAGCGUGAAGGAUGACUGCCCUAUGGGUUGUAAACUUCUUUUAUAUGGGAAUAAAAUGUUCCACGUGUGGGAUUUUGUAUGUACCAUAUGAAUAAGGAUCGGCUAACUCCGUGCCAGCAGCCGCGGUAAUACGGAGGAUCCGAGCGUUAUCCGGAUUUAUUGGGUUUAAAGGGAGCGUAGGUGGAUUGUUAAGUCAGUUGUGAAAGUUUGCGGCUCAACCGUAAAAUUGCAGUUGAAACUGGCAGUCUUGAGUACAGUAGAGGUGGGCUGAAUUCGUGGUGUAGCGGUGAAAUGCUUAGAUAUCACGAAGAACUCCGAUUGCGAAGGCAGUUCACUGGACUGCAACUGACACUGAGGCUCGAAAGUGUGGGUAUCAAACAGGAUUAGAUACCCCUGUAGUC